Zea mays is the source of this 986-nucleotide RNA transcript. It is a transcript of the gene named probable protein S-acyltransferase 7, with no coding region annotated. The record is from RefSeq and is a predicted model, not a curated record. NCBI's taxonomy places the organism in Eukaryota, Viridiplantae, Streptophyta, Magnoliopsida, Poales, Poaceae. The transcript is spliced from 2 exons.
UGCCUGUAUGUCUUUGGGUUCUGCUGGGUUCAUUAUUAAGAUCAGAAAUGCCGAGCAGAUAACAAUUUGGAAGGCAAUGACAAAGACCCCUGCAUCUAUUGCCUUAAUCAUCUACACAUUCAUUGCAGUUUGGUUUGUUGGUGGCCUCUCUGUGUUCCAUCUGUAUCUCAUGAGCACAAAUCAGACAACAUAUGAGAACUCCAGGUAUCGCUAUGAUCAGCGAGACAACCCAUACAAAAGGGAGUCAUGGAAAACAUCAAAGAGUUCUUCUUUACAACGAUCCCUCCUUCCAAGAACAACUUCUGUGGUAGGGGCGAACAGGAGCAUGGUCUGAGGCCCCGUCCAACGAAUGGUUUCAUGAGUCCAAACAUGGGGAGAGCUGUUGGCGACAUUGAGAUGGGUAGAAAACCAGUGGCUUGGGAUGAGCCUAGGAUGGCGGCUGAAAUUGGUGAUUGAGGAGCAGGUCUGAGCAACCUGUUGGAGGACAAGGAUGGCAGGUUUCGUACCACAUCUCCAAAUCUCAGCCGCGACACCCUUGCGGUUGGAGGAGGCUUAGAAGAGCACGGAUCCUCGGCAAUGAACCCUGGGCGCUCAAGCUGGGGAGUUGAAGCUGGUCGAUGAUGGCAAUGGCAUUGACCAUGUAAGGCGGAUGUAGUGAGAUGCUCAGGGUUGUUAGUGCCAGUUUGUCGCUAAUUUGUUGUUUUGUUGGAGAUUUGAGGUCACUAAUGUUAUUAGACUUAUGACCUGUAUGGCUGUUGUUUCUGGACUUUCUUUUCUUCUUCCUCUUAAUUUGGGGCGUCUUCCAUGUCCAUUGUUUGAAGCAGUCGGUUUGUGACGCCUCCAGCUUGGUACUGUCAGGUUUUGUCUGUAUAUAAUCGGAGCAGUAAGCCUAAAAUAGGUUUCGGUUGCUUGAGUUUGGAUGGUAAUGGUUGUGAACAAUGUCGAACCUUCGCAUUGCAGUAAAUGAACAUCGUUUGAUUGGAGUG